AAGCGGCUGAAUUGAUUCUUCGGAUGAUUUUCAGUUGACUGAGCGGUGGACGGGUGAGUAACGCGUGGGUGACCUGCCCCAUACCGGGGGAUAACAGCUGGAAACGGCUGCUAAUACCGCAUAAGCGCACAGAGCUGCAUGGCUCGGUGUGAAAAACUCCGGUGGUAUGGGAUGGGCCCGCGUCUGAUUAGGCAGUUGGCGGGGUAACGGCCCACCAAACCGACGAUCAGUAGCCGGCCUGAGAGGGCGACCGGCCACAUUGGGACUGAGACACGGCCCAAACUCCUACGGGAGGCAGCAGUGGGGAAUAUUGCACAAUGGGGGAAACCCUGAUGCAGCGACGCCGCGUGAGCGAAGAAGUAUUUCGGUAUGUAAAGCUCUAUCAGCAGGGAAGAUAAUGACGGUACCUGACUAAGAAGCCCCGGCUAACUACGUGCCAGCAGCCGCGGUAAUACGUAGGGGGCAAGCGUUAUCCGGAUUUACUGGGUGUAAAGGGAGCGUAGACGGCAAGGCAAGUCUGAUGUGAAAACCCAGGGCUUAACCCUGGGACUGCAUUGGAAACUGUCUGGCUCGAGUGCCGGAGAGGUAAGCGGAAUUCCUAGUGUAGCGGUGAAAUGCGUAGAUAUUAGGAAGAACACCAGUGGCGAAGGCGGCUUACUGGACGGUAACUGACGUUGAGGCUCGAAAGCGUGGGGAGCAAACAGGAUUAGAUACCCUGGUAGUCCACGCCGUANACGAUGAAUGCUAGGUGUUGGGGAGCAAAGCUCUUNGGUGCCGCCGCAAACGCAUUAAGUAUUCCACCUGGGGAGUACGUUCGCAAGAAUGAAACUCAA
Molecule: ribosomal RNA, 833 nt
Filed under: uncultured bacterium
Lineage: Bacteria
Description: bacterial SSU rRNA
Rfam family: Bacterial small subunit ribosomal RNA
Source: RNAcentral